This 479-nucleotide ribosomal RNA is filed under the name uncultured bacterium. RNAcentral's name for it is "bacterial SSU rRNA". It matches the Rfam family "Bacterial small subunit ribosomal RNA", at positions 28 to 507 of the family's 1533-position model. The record is from RNAcentral.
GACGAACGCUGGCGGCGUGCCUAACACAUGCAAGUCGAGCGGAGUCGAUCGACGGAAGCCUUCGGGCGGAAGAUGGUUGACUUAGCGGCGGAUGGGUGAGUAACGCGUGGGCAACCUGCCUCGAAGACCGGGAUAACAGCCCGAAAGGGCUGCUAAUACCGGAUGUGGUCAAGGAUCCGCAUGGAUUUUUGAUUAAAGGGGAAACCCGUUUCGAGAUGGGCCCGCGUCCUAUCAGCUAGUUGGUGAGGUAAAAGCUCACCAAGGCGACGACGGGUAGCCGGCCUGAGAGGGUGACCGGCCACACUGGAACUGAGACACGGUCCAGACUCCUACGGGGGGCAGCAGUGGGGAAUCUUCCACAAUGGGCGAAAGCCUGAUGGAGCGACGCCGCGUGAGCGAAGAAGGCCUUCGGUUGUAAGCUCUGUCUGAGGGACGAAGGAAGUGACGGUACCUCCGGAGGAAGCACGGCGUACUACGUG